Long non-coding RNA from Peromyscus maniculatus bairdii (prairie deer mouse), 829 nucleotides. RefSeq lists it as uncharacterized. NCBI's taxonomy places the organism in Eukaryota, Metazoa, Chordata, Mammalia, Rodentia, Cricetidae. The record is from RefSeq and is a predicted model, not a curated record.
GGGGUGCGGGGAAGGAGGCCCUGGAGCCUUUCUUCUCCCGGACGCCUGGACCCUCCAAGCACCUCCACACGCACACACCCAUGCACCCCGGAGACUGCAGGGGGCCAGAUCCGCAGGCGCUGAGUCAGCCCUGCCGACUGAUGUGCUGAGGGCACUAGACUACCUGGAAUGGGGCUUGAGAAGGUUCUGUAGGACGUUGGAGUCAGUCCCCACCCCACUGUGUAGACACACGCCAGGGCAAUGGGUCCACCACUUUGCUGUAUGGCAGACACAUCUUUUCCUUGGGUUGCAGCAGCCCGUCCAAAGAGCGGCUAUUCUCACACGGCUCAGACACUCUGAAACUGAACCACAAGCCUGGUCUGUGAACUCUCUCCCCUCUGUGGAUGAUCACACCGCGAAACCUGUUGCCGUGAACAUCUCCACGGGGAUUUCCUGUGGAGAGGAUUGCCACAGCAGAGGCGCUGCACAUGAAGGCCGGAGCUCCGCCCUGGAGAGCCAGGAUCCUUUCACCUACUCCAACAAGGCCGCACCUAAUCCUCUUCACAGCCGUCCAGGCUUCAGUGAUGCAAGACUGACGUCCAAGACACUAAGUCCUUACAGCUUAGCGUCAGCCAGCUUUCCAGCAGAGGCCAGUCAACACACGCAAACGCUGUAUGAUUUGUGUCUCUCUAAUUCUUUAGUGUCUUUUCCUACACUUAGCAGCUUAGAUUUUUCAUCUGUUUACCUGUUUGUGGUUUGGCCACUUUUCUUUAAAUUUUUUUGUUGUUGUUUUAUGUGUAUGUGUGUGUGCCUGAUUGUAUGUCUGUAUACCACAUGAGUACAGGAGUCU